AUGGCUUUGAUGCCCGUGGAGCUCUGCUACGCCACGGUCGCCUCUCCGGUGGCGGCGCCAUCGGCCAGGAGGGCGCCGAGGCGGCGGGCGGUGGUGCGGUGCGCGGCGUCCGCGCCGGCGCCGAUGGGGGAGAAGACCGAGUACAGGGACGGGCCGCUGGAGCGCGCGUUCAUGGGGCUGUUCGCGCGCAAGAUGGAGAAGUUCGCGGGAAGGAAGAAGAAGCCGGGCCCGGGCGGCGAGGAGGAGAAGAAGGCGGUGUGGGAGUGGGACUACGAGAGCUUCGUGGACGUGUCGCGGCGGGUGAUGGUGGGGCGGUCGCGCGCGCAGCAGCAGGAGGCCGUCCGCGAGGUGCUCCUCUCCAUGCUCCCUCCCGGCGCCCCCGAGCAGUUCAAGAAGCUCUUCCCGCCCACGCGCUGGGCCUGCGAGUUCAACGCCGCCCUCACCGUCCCCUUCUUCCACUGGCUCGUCGGUCCGUCAGAGGUUAUCGAGGUAGAGGUUGACGGGGUGAAGCAGAGGAGUGGAGUGCUCAUAAAGAAAUGCAGGUACUUGGAGAACAGCGGGUGCGUUGGGAUGUGCGUCAACAUGUGCAAGAUCCCCACGCAGAGCUUCUUCACCGACGAGUUCGGCCUUCCCCUCACCAUGAAUCCAAACUUUGAAGACAUGAGCUGCGAAAUGAUAUAUGGUCAGGUGCCCCCACCACUGGAAGAAGAUCCAGUGUCAAAACAACCCUGCUAUCCCAGCCUCUGUUCCAUAUCGACGCCCUCCGCUGCAAUAUGUCCCAAAAUUCAGAACUAG
RNAcentral lists this ribosomal RNA (795 nucleotides) under Triticum aestivum (bread wheat). Its description in RNAcentral is "partial small subunit ribosomal RNA". The record is from RNAcentral. Lineage: Eukaryota; Viridiplantae; Streptophyta; Magnoliopsida; Poales; Poaceae.